RNAcentral lists this long non-coding RNA (469 nucleotides) under Brachypodium distachyon (stiff brome). RNAcentral's name for it is "long non-coding RNA (BDIS_LNC005195)". Lineage: Eukaryota; Viridiplantae; Streptophyta; Magnoliopsida; Poales; Poaceae. The record is from RNAcentral.
CAUGUAUGGAUGGCCCCCUUUCCCUUUGGCUCCGCCCUGCCCGGUAUGCAUGUAUGGCUGCAACCAUUGCCAGGCGACGCCGAUCGCACAGCCGACAAUAAGUGAGUUGGUUCGAGUUAUAUAUGGUUGAUGGAACAUCGAAACAUGGGCUUUUCAGUCGAGAAAAAGCGAAAUGGCUCUCACGUGCACACCCUCUUGGAAUGAAUAAUAAAUAUGAACCAAAUACUAGAACAUGGAGAAUAAAUCUCUAAACCAUGCAAAUGUAGAAAUUACGUCAGUUGUAUGCACGUAUAUUUUAUUAAAAAUGGUGUGAUUGCACCCUGAAAAUGAAAAAAAAAUAAGUACUCCAAAAUAUGUCAAAUUAUAAGCACAAAACUUUGUGUUUUUACAUCGUCGGCAAUAACUAUCUCUUUUAUGAAAAUACAUACAUAGAGAUGGACCGAGCGGGUAUUUCGCAUGUCAAGGGUAG